AGGACGAACGCUGGCGGCGUGCUUAACACAUGCAAGUCGAGCGGAAAGGCCCUUCGGGGUACUCGAGCGGCGAACGGGUGAGUAACACGUGAGUAAUCUGCCCCUAGCUCUGGGAUAGCUCCGGGAAACCGGGAUUAAUACCAGAUACGACCACUUUAGACAUCUGUUGUGGUGGAAAGAAUUUCGGCUAGGGAUGAGCUCGCGGCCUAUCAGCUUGUUGGUGGGGUAACGGCCUACCAAGGCGACGACGGGUA
RNAcentral lists this ribosomal RNA (254 nucleotides) under uncultured bacterium. Its description in RNAcentral is "partial small subunit ribosomal RNA". It matches the Rfam family "Bacterial small subunit ribosomal RNA", at positions 26 to 285 of the family's 1533-position model. The record is from RNAcentral.